GAAAAAAACAGAGUAGAGAGAGAGAGGACCCCAUUAGCGCCGAUUGCAUUGUUCAGAGAGUAAAGAGAGGAGUUAGUUUGAAGCAUAAUCUAAUGAGUUUUAUUCAAAAGUUACUGCUAUAAACUUCAAGUUGCACGAGUUAGAAAAUUGUUGAUAAAAAAAGAAGCGAUGCACACCAGUCCGAGUUGGUUUGAAGCAUAUAGCUGCCUGCUGUACUAGCUCGCUCGAUCUGGCAUGAAGAUCAAGCACGCGUAAUUGUUUGCAGUAGCGAGAAUCCCCUUGCCAACAGCUAAUUAGGAACCAGAGAAACCCAUUGACAGCUCUCCAAAUUAGUCUGCCGUUCUCAGUCCGUCGUUCUCCUCUAUCAGCGAGCGAUCGGAAGGUCUUACAGAGAUGAAAGGGGUGACAGAUCUGGGGAAUGAGAGGGAUAAGGGAACAGAGAUAGUGUUUUUCACUUAUAGACAGUACAAGAGAGGAGAGGAAAUGACAGCAGAGCAAGAUUAUUGCUUGGUAGCUCGAAUUAAGCAACUCAAAUGGCCCGAUUUCUUUGUACUCCCCCAGAUUCCUUAUACACCCCCAGCUUUGUUCGGCCACACCAGACCUUUAAUUUCAAAUAUUAAAAAAAAAA
Non-coding RNA from Camellia sinensis, 628 nucleotides. NCBI's taxonomy places the organism in Eukaryota, Viridiplantae, Streptophyta, Magnoliopsida, Ericales, Theaceae. The record is from RefSeq and is a predicted model, not a curated record.